This 157-nucleotide ribosomal RNA is filed under the name unidentified. RNAcentral describes it as "Pyrenopsis sp. 5.8S ribosomal RNA". It matches the Rfam family "5.8S ribosomal RNA". From Rfam's summary of the family: 5.8S ribosomal RNA (5.8S rRNA) is a component of the large subunit of the eukaryotic ribosome. It is transcribed by RNA polymerase I as part of the 45S precursor that also contains 18S and 28S rRNA. The record is from RNAcentral.
AAACUUUCAACAACGGAUCUCUUGGUUCUGGCAUCGAUGAAGAACGUAGCAAACUGCGAAACGUAAUGUGAAUUGCAGAACUCAGUGAAUCAUCGAAUCUUUGAACGCACAUUGCACCCCCCGGUAUCCCGGGGGGUACACCUGUCCGAGCGUCGUC